Molecule: ribosomal RNA, 346 nt
Filed under: uncultured Glomeromycotina
Lineage: Eukaryota; Fungi; Glomeromycota
Description: SSU rRNA
Rfam family: Eukaryotic small subunit ribosomal RNA
Source: RNAcentral
AGCAGCCGCGGUAAUUCCAGCUCCAAUAGCGUAUAUUAAAGUUGUUGCAGUUAAAAGCUCGUAGUUGAAUUUCGGGGUUAGCAGGUCGGUCGUGCCAUCGGUAUGAACUGGUCUCGCUGAUCCCUCCCUCUUGACGAACUGUGAUGCCAUUAAUUUGGUGUCGCAGGGAAUCAGGACUGUUACUUUGAAAAAUUGAGUGUUUAAAGCAGGCUCACGCUUGAAUACAUUAGCAUAGAAUAAUGAAAUAGGACGUUUGAUCCUAUUUUGUUGGCUUCUAGAAUUGACGUAAUGAUUAAUAGGGAUAGUUGGGGCAUUAGUAUUCAAUUGUCAGAGGUGAAAUUCUUGG